Molecule: ribosomal RNA, 497 nt
Filed under: uncultured bacterium
Lineage: Bacteria
Description: partial 16S ribosomal RNA
Rfam family: Bacterial small subunit ribosomal RNA
Source: RNAcentral
GAUGAACGCUGGCGGCGUGCCUAAUACAUGCAAGUCGAGCGAACGAACGAGAAGCUUGCUUCUCUGAUGUUAGCGGCGGACGGGAGAGUAACACGUGGAUGACCUACCUAUAAGACUGGGAUAACUUCGGGAAACCGGAGCUAAUACCGGAUAAUAUUUUGAACCGCAUGGUUCAAAAGUGAAAGACGGUCUUGCUGUCACUUAUAGAUGGAUCCGCGCUGCAUUAGCUAGUUGGUAAGGUAACGGCUUACCAAGGCAACGAUGCGUAGCCGACCUGAGAGGGUGAUCGGCCACACUAGAACUGGAACACGGACCAGACUCCUACGGGAGGCAGCAGUAGGGAAUCUUCCGCAGUGGGCGAGAGCAUGACGGAGCAACGCCGCGUGAGUGAUGGAGGUCUUCGGAUCGUAAAACUCUGUUAUUAGGGAAGAACAAAUGUGUAAGUAACUAUACACGUCUUGACGGUACCUAAUCAGAAAGCCACGGCUAACUACGUG